GUCUCCUGAUUCCAGCGCUCAGUCUCCUACACAUGGCGCGCGCGCUCACCCAGCUCUUCCCCUUCCAGCAGCUGAGCACGCCGUCCCUCCCUAUUUUAGCUCGCCUCUGUCCUCCAUGGUCCGGUCAGGGACACCCACGUCGAGCUCCAUCACACGCACGCUCAGCUCCAGCUCAGUCGAGCUCGUCCCUGCGAGCGCGUUCUCCUGCGUCCAGCCGGGCGCGCGAAGCUUCUCUGCUCACGGCGCUCCCUGUCUGCUCGGCCAUGGUGAAACCCUCCCUGCCAUGGACGCCGGAGUUCCUCUGCUCGUUCUCAUGGCCGCCGUCGAGCUUCCGGCGCACGCCCAUCUCCUCUGCU
Molecule: unclassified non-coding RNA, 356 nt
Filed under: Zea mays
Lineage: Eukaryota; Viridiplantae; Streptophyta; Magnoliopsida; Poales; Poaceae
Description: misc RNA Zm00001eb386950
Source: RNAcentral